GUGCAGGGCCCGCGAAGGCGGAGUUAGGGAGAGGCCUGGCCUCCUCUUUAGGCCACGGCGCCGCGCAGAUGCUGUCCUCGGGGGACCUCUCUGUCCCAAUUGGGUGAGACCUACCUGGUCCUGAUGACAACAGACAACAGCCUUAACGGCCGGAAGGUCAGCGAAGUCCCGGAUGAGGACGGGUGGAAUGGUAGCGACCAUGGGGCAGUUGGCCUUCCUUCUACCAGACGUUGAUGUGGGAAAAGAGAAACGGAGUAACAGGACACAUUUAGCGAUUUGGAGAUUCCCAUCACGCUUUGGGAGGAUGUACCGGCGUUUAUAGGAGACCUGCGUGUAUAAUAGCCCAAUGGGGUGAUGGUUUUACCUAAAGGAUUUCAAAGCAAUCAGAACAUCCACUCAUGUUGGAUUGGUAAAUUCCAUAGAUUAAAACAACUCUGGCUAUUUAAUGAACUGCUUUUU
RNAcentral lists this long non-coding RNA (459 nucleotides) under Homo sapiens (human). Its description in RNAcentral is "non-protein coding lnc-OR2W1-1:1". The record is from RNAcentral. Lineage: Eukaryota; Metazoa; Chordata; Mammalia; Primates; Hominidae.